This is a non-coding RNA of Myotis lucifugus (little brown bat), 74 nucleotides long. NCBI's taxonomy places the organism in Eukaryota, Metazoa, Chordata, Mammalia, Chiroptera, Vespertilionidae. The record is from Rfam.
GGUGGUUCUCAGGUGAUGCAUCCCAGAAUCGGGCUCCCUUUUCUGGGUUCCAGGUGCGUCACCAGAGAACCGCA